GCUAUGAUGAAUUUAAUUGCAAUGAUCAUCUGAAAUGAUAAUUUUGUCCUCUAAGAAGUUCUGAGCUU
Small nucleolar RNA from Phyllostomus hastatus (greater spear-nosed bat), 68 nucleotides. RefSeq annotates it as small nucleolar RNA SNORD61. The transcript has a single exon. The record is from RefSeq and is a predicted model, not a curated record. NCBI's taxonomy places the organism in Eukaryota, Metazoa, Chordata, Mammalia, Chiroptera, Phyllostomidae.